RNAcentral lists this unclassified non-coding RNA (832 nucleotides) under Bombus terrestris (buff-tailed bumblebee). RNAcentral's name for it is "misc RNA ENSBTSG00005031747.1". Lineage: Eukaryota; Metazoa; Arthropoda; Insecta; Hymenoptera; Apidae. The record is from RNAcentral.
AAAAUUAAAAAUAAUAUUCUAUUUAUUGAAAUUAUUGCUCCAAUUGAAGAGAUUAAAUUUCAACAAUAAUAUGAAUCUGGGUAAUCUGAGUAUCGUCGAGGUAUAGAUAUUAAUCCUAAAAAAUGUUGAGGAAAGAAUGUUAUAUUUACACCAAUAAAUAUUAUAAUAAAUUGAAUUUUUAAUCAUUUUUGAUUUAUUGUUAAACCUGUAAUUAUUGGAAAUCAAUGAAUAAUACUUGUAAUAAUAGCGAAAACUGCUCCUAUUGAUAAAACAUAGUGAAAAUGACCUACUACAUAAUAUGUCAUUUUCACUAUGUUUUAUCAAUAGGAGCAGUUUUCGCUAUUAUUACAAGUAUUAUUCAUUGAUUUCCAAUAAUUACAGGUUUAACAAUAAAUCAAAAAUGAUUAAAAAUUCAAUUUAUUAUAAUAUUUAUUGGUGUAAAUAUAACAUUCUUUCCUCAACAUUUUUUAGGAUUAAUAUCUAUACCUCGACGAUACUCAGAUUACCCAGAUUCAUAUUAUUGUUGAAAUUUAAUCUCUUCAAUUGGAGCAAUAAUUUCAAUAAAUAGAAUAUUAUUUUUAAUUUUUAUUAUUUUUGAAAGAUUAAUUUCUAAACGAUUAAUUUUAUUUAAAUUUCAUCAAUCAUCACUUGAAUGAUUAAAUAAUUACCCUCCUUUUGAUCACUCAUUAAUUGAAAUUCCAUUAAUUUCAAAAAAUAAAAUUAAAAAUAUUUUCAAUAAAUAAAUUACCUUUUUAAUAUAAAUUUUACAUUUAAUAUAAUAUUAAUAUGGCAGAUUAGUGCUUUGAACUUAAAAUUCAACUAUAAAGAUAUU